AGCGAACGCUGGCGGCAGGCUUAACACAUGCAAGUCGAGCGGGCCCUUCGGGGUCAGCGGCGGACGGGUGAGUAACGCGUGGGAACGUGCCUUCUGGUUCGGAAUAACCCUGGGAAACUAGGGCUAAUACCGGAUACGCCCUUUUGGGGAAGGGUUUACUGCCGGAAGAUCGGCCCGCGUCUGAUUAGCUAGUUGGUGGGGUAACGGCCUACCAAGGCGACGAUCAGUAGCUGGUCUGAGAGGAUGAUCAGCCACACUGGGACUGAGACACGGCCCAGACUCCUACGGGAGGCAGCAGUGGGGAAUAUUGGACAAUGGGCGCAAGCCUGAUCCAGCCAUGCCGCGUGAGUGAUGAAGGCCUUAGGGUUGUAAAGCUCUUUUAUCCGGGACGAUAAUGACGGUACCGGAGGAAUAAGCCCCGGCUAACUUCGUGCCAGCCGCCGCAUUAA
Molecule: ribosomal RNA, 449 nt
Filed under: uncultured bacterium
Lineage: Bacteria
Description: partial 16S ribosomal RNA
Rfam family: Bacterial small subunit ribosomal RNA
Source: RNAcentral